RNAcentral lists this ribosomal RNA (506 nucleotides) under uncultured bacterium. Its description in RNAcentral is "bacterial SSU rRNA". It matches the Rfam family "Bacterial small subunit ribosomal RNA", at positions 26 to 518 of the family's 1533-position model. The record is from RNAcentral.
AGGACGAACGCUGGCGGCGUGCCUAACACAUGCAAGUCGAGCGGGACAUUCGACGGACCGGAAGUUUCGGGAUGGAAGGGAAGAUGAAUGUCCUAGCGGCGGACGGGUGAGUAACGCGUGAGCAACCUGCCUUCACAGGGGGAUAACACAGCGAAAGUUGUACUAAUACCGUAUAAGACCACGGCGGGGCAUCCCGAAAGGGGUCAAAGGAGCAAUCCGGUGAAGGGUGGGCUCGCGUCCGAUUAGAUAGUUGGUGAGGUAACGGCCCACCAAGUCGACGAUCGGUAGCCGACCUGAGAGGGUGAUCGGCCACAUUGGGACUGAGACACGGCCCAAACUCCUACGGGAGGCAGCAGGUGGGGAAUAUUGGGCAAAUGGGGGAAACCCUGACCCAGCAACGCCGCGUGAGGGAAGAAGGUUUUCGGAUCGUAAACCUCUGUCCUUGGUGGAGAGGAAGAGACGGUAGCCAAGGAGGAAGCCCCGACUAACUACGUGCCAGCCGCCGC